GGGAUCGUGGCGCAGUUGGCUAGCGCGUAGGUCUCAUAGCGAUAUGAGCCUUAUCCAAGAUAGGCAUAUCCUAAGGUCGUGAGUUCGAGCCUCACCGAUCCCA
RNAcentral lists this transfer RNA (103 nucleotides) under Sporothrix schenckii ATCC 58251. It matches the Rfam family "tRNA". Rfam says of the family: Transfer RNA (tRNA) molecules are approximately 80 nucleotides in length. Lineage: Eukaryota; Fungi; Ascomycota; Sordariomycetes; Ophiostomatales; Ophiostomataceae. RNAcentral also lists the same sequence under 2 other names. The record is from Rfam by way of RNAcentral.